This 78-nucleotide transfer RNA is filed under the name Dichomitus squalens. RNAcentral describes it as "tRNA-Gln". It matches the Rfam family "tRNA". Rfam says of the family: Transfer RNA (tRNA) molecules are approximately 80 nucleotides in length. Their secondary structure includes four short double-helical elements and three loops (D, anti-codon, and T loops). Further hydrogen bonds mediate the characteristic L-shaped molecular structure. tRNAs have two regions of fundamental functional importance: the anti-codon, which is responsible for specific mRNA codon recognition, and the 3' end, to which the tRNAs corresponding amino acid is attached (by aminoacyl-tRNA synthetases). tRNAs cope with the degeneracy of the genetic code in two manners: having more than one tRNA (with a specific anti-codon) for a particular amino acid; and 'wobble' base-pairing, i.e. permitting non-standard base-pairing at the 3rd anti-codon position. The record is from RNAcentral. Lineage: Eukaryota; Fungi; Basidiomycota; Agaricomycetes; Polyporales; Polyporaceae.
GGCGCUAUAGUGUAGUGGUUAUCACUUGGGAUUCUGAUGAGUGUUCCCAAAACCCAGGUUCGAGCCCUGGUAGCGCCU